Molecule: ribosomal RNA, 475 nt
Filed under: uncultured bacterium
Lineage: Bacteria
Description: bacterial SSU rRNA
Rfam family: Bacterial small subunit ribosomal RNA
Source: RNAcentral
UGCGAACUCCUACGGGAGGCAGCAGUGGGGAAUCUUCCGCAAUGGACGAAAGUCUGACGGAGCAACGCCGCGUGAACGAAGAAGGUCUUCGGAUUGUAAAGUUCUGUGAUUCGGGACGAAAGGGUUUGUGGUGAAUAAUCAUAGACAUUGACGGUACCGAAAAAGCAAGCCACGGCUAACUACGUGCCAGCAGCCGCGGUAAUACGUAGGUGGCAAGCGUUGUCCGGAAUUAUUGGGCGUAAAGCGCGCGCAGGCGGUUUCUUAAGUCCAUCUUAAAAGCGUGGGGCUCAACCCCAUGAGGGGAUGGAAACUGGGAAGCUGGAGUAUCGGAGAGGAAAGUGGAAUUCCUAGUGUAGCGGUGAAAUGCGUAGAGAUUAGGAAGAACACCGGUGGCGAAGGCGACUUUCUAGACGAAAACUGACGCUGAGGCGCGAAAGCGUGGGGAGCAAACAGGAUUAGAUACCCUUGUAGUCCU